RNA transcript from Motacilla alba alba, 2262 nucleotides. It is a transcript of the gene named serum paraoxonase/arylesterase 2, with no coding region annotated. NCBI's taxonomy places the organism in Eukaryota, Metazoa, Chordata, Aves, Passeriformes, Motacillidae. The transcript is spliced from 10 exons. The record is from RefSeq and is a predicted model, not a curated record.
GGGAGGCAGCGCCGGGCCCCGGGGGCGGGACGGGACCCGACCGGACGGGACGGGACGGGACGCGGCGGAGCCGGGAGCGGCCAUGGGGAAGCUGCUGGCGGUGGCUCUCGUCGGGAUAGCGGCGGCCUUGGCGGCGGAGCGGCUGCUGGCGUUCCGGAACAGACUCAAUGCUUCACGGGAAGUAACCCCAGUGAGCCUCCCGAACUGCCGGCUCAUUAAAGGGAUCGAAACUGGUUCAGAAGACAUCGAUAUACUUCCCAAUGGACUGGCUUUCAUCAGCUCUGGUUUGAAAUAUCCAGGAUUAAAGAGCUUUGCUCCAGAUAAGCCAGGUGAAAUAUUUUUGAUGGAUUUGAAUGAAGACAAUCCCAGAGCAGUGGAACUGAGAAUCAGCCGAGGGUUUGAUCUGGCAUCAUUUAACCCUCAUGGAAUCAGCACCUAUAUAGACAGAGACGACACCGUGUAUCUCUUUGUUGUGAACCAUCCCCACCAGAAGAGCACAGUAGAAUUGUUUAAAUUUGUAGAAGAUGACAAUUCUCUUGUACACCUGAAAACCAUUCGACAUGACCUUCUGAUAAGUGUGAAUGAUAUAGUAGCCAUGGGACCAGAGAGCUUCUACGCUACCAAUGACCACUACUUCUCCGACUUCCUCUUGAUGUUCUUAGAAAUGUUCUUGGGUUUAACCUGGUCAAAUGUUGUUUACUACAGUCCAAAAGAAGUUAAAGAAGUAGCAUCUGGGUUUUAUUCAGCCAAUGGAAUUAACAUUUCACCAGACAGAAAGUACAUCUAUGUUGCAGAUGUAUUGGAUCACAAUGUCUAUGUCAUGGAAAAACAUGCUAACUGGAGUUUAACCCAUGUAAAGACGCUGCAGCUGGACACUCUGGUCGAUAACUUGUCUAUUGACCCUCACACCGGAGACAUCUGGGCAGGAUGUCAUCCCAAUGGGAUGAAGCUGUUCUACUAUGAUCCUGAAAAUCUUCCUGCAUCUGAGGUGCUGCGCAUCCAGAACAUCCUCUCGGAGGAGCCUGUGGUGACACGUGUCUACUCUGACAACGGCUCUGUGCUGCAGGGAAGCUCAGUGGCAUCCAUCUACGAGGGAAAACUGCUCAUUGGCACAGUCUUCCACAGAGCUCUCUACUGUGAUCUAUAGCUCGUCACGGGCAAGACCUGCUGCUGUGGAAAGGAUUUAAUUCCUUGGGAACUCACUUAGGUUCUGCUAGAUCUGCUAACAACAAGACUGUCCCAAUAAAGGUUAACUACAGUAAUGGAAAUGUAUUUUAGCCUUCCUCUCCAAAGUGAGACUUCUACACAAUAGUAAAGGACAUGGAAUUGAAGAAAAUCAAGACUGUCUUCACUCAUCACUGGCUUUUUUUCUGUUCUAAACUGCUCCUGUGCUGAAGAUUUUCCCAUUGGUCUGCCUACAGACGGAACCAUGGGCAAGCGAGGGGCCUUAUCUUUUCCUACAGUGUUUGAGAGGAGAGACAUCACAGCUGUCUGCUGUCACUGACAGUACCAUUUUGACCUGAGGCCAGGAGGGCGGGAAGCCCAUUGCCAACCUCCUCCCAGGUCUCCCAGCCUUGCAGCGCGGAGGAGGGAACUGGAGCAGGGCCAGCGGUGUUCAGGCGGUGCAGGGCAGGACGCAGACAGCAAGCAGGUGGCGUGCAGCAAGAGCCACGCUGGCUGGGGUACAGCCCCACCUCCGGGCAGCCUCAGUGACCAAACAGCAGCGGUGGAAGAUGCAGCUCAAGCCUGGCCUCCCAAUUACAAAGUAACCUGCACACCAAAAAUCCAGGCUUGCAAGCCAAGGAGGGCAUAACCCAUCAUCUUUAACAUGCUGUAGAGACUGGAGCAGUUCUGGGCAUUCCCGAAACCCAGCUGCAGCUAUCUGAGACAACUUGCACAAACAAAAAAAACGUAUGUACAGAUGGCUCCGGGCCGAGGGAGCUGCUGAGCAGACACAUUUUACACGUCAGUUGUGGACCCAGAGCACCUUAGUAUAUCUAUUUUAAUUAAGAUAAUGAUUUUAUGAAUUGAGGAUUCUCUAUCUUGCAGGUGGUGCCUGUAUUAGUGGAAGGUAAGAUUUAUGAUUCAGUCUUUGGGAAACACAAACUGGGUUAGACAGAUUAAGUGCACAGUGCUUGGCCUAGAUUCUGCCAGAUGUAAAUCCACUGAAAUGACUAUACAAAUUGCACAGUCUGUGCCCUUCGAUUUUCCCUAACUUAAUGCUUUACUAAAUUCAAAUAAAUAAAGGACUCAUUAAACAUA